GCACAUUAUUUUUCGAAAUAACUUUACAAUUAUUCUCUUUUACUUCCAAUAUGACAUGAAAAAGUUGAAAAGGUUAAAAGUUAAAGGUGAGAGGAUUAAAUCCUGAUACCCGAAACGACUAACCCAGAUACUAUACACUCUAAAGACCUUGUUGAUGAAUAUAGGAACGGACGGCGCGACGAUUCGCUUCACCUUCUUCCCCAUAUUCGAAAUGAAAUCAACAAAGACCUUGUUGGUGGCUAUAGGCUCGGUGUUCACCUCUUCCCAUCCCGAACAGAGAAGUUAAGCCCGAGACCGCCGAUGAUACUUGGAUCACACCUGGUAAAGUAGGUAGCCGCCACAA
RNAcentral lists this ribosomal RNA (343 nucleotides) under Dyadobacter jejuensis. Lineage: Bacteria; Pseudomonadati; Bacteroidota; Cytophagia; Cytophagales; Spirosomataceae. The record is from RNAcentral.